Callorhinus ursinus (northern fur seal) is the source of this 155-nucleotide non-coding RNA. The record is from RefSeq and is a predicted model, not a curated record. Lineage: Eukaryota; Metazoa; Chordata; Mammalia; Carnivora; Otariidae.
AGGUUAUCUGAUCUGCACGGGAGUUUUGACCUGCUCCGUUUCCAACCUGGGCCAGUUUACCCCUCCUUAGGCAACCUGGUGGUCCCCCCCUCCCGGGAGGUCACCAUAUUGAUGCCGAACUUAGUGCGGACACCCGAUCGGAGAGCCUGCUUCUC